Molecule: transfer RNA, 71 nt
Filed under: Loxodonta africana (African savanna elephant)
Lineage: Eukaryota; Metazoa; Chordata; Mammalia; Proboscidea; Elephantidae
Rfam family: tRNA
About the family: Transfer RNA (tRNA) molecules are approximately 80 nucleotides in length. Their secondary structure includes four short double-helical elements and three loops (D, anti-codon, and T loops).
Source: Rfam by way of RNAcentral
GCCCUGGUGGCUUAAUGGUUAAGUGCUUGACUGCUAACCAAAAAGUCAGUGGUUUGAACCCACCAGUGGCU